AACACAUGCAAGUCGAGCGGUAACAGGUGUAGCAAUACAUGCUGACGAGCGGCGAACGGGUGAGUAAUGCUUCGGAAUCUGCCCAAUGGUGGGGAAUAACCAGCUGAAAGGUUGGCUAAUACCGCAUAAGUCCUACGGGGGAAAGCAGGGGAUCGCAAGACCUUGCGCCGAUGGAUGAGCCGAAGUCGGAUUAGCUAGUUGGUAGGGUAACGGCCUACCAAGGCGACGAUCCGUAGCUGGUCUGAGAGGACGACCAGCCACACUGGGACUGAGACACGGCCCAGACUCCUACGGGAGGCAGCAGUGGGGAAUAUUGGACAAUGGGGGAAACCCUGAUCCAGCGACGCCGCGUGUGUGAAGAAGGCCUGCGGGUUGUAAAGCACUUUUAGUGGGGAUGAAAAGCUCAGGGCUAAUACCUCUGGGUCUUGACCUAACCCAAAGAAAAAGCACCGGCUAACUCUGUGCCAGCAGCCGCGGUAAUACAGAGGGUGCGAGCGUUAAUCGGAAUUACUGGGCGUAAAGCGUGCGUANACGGUUAUGUAAGUCGGGUGUGAAAGCCCCGGGCUCA
Molecule: ribosomal RNA, 568 nt
Filed under: uncultured bacterium
Lineage: Bacteria
Description: bacterial SSU rRNA
Rfam family: Bacterial small subunit ribosomal RNA
Source: RNAcentral